AUUCCUGCGCAGACGGCACGGCCAUUGGCGGUCAUGAGGGGGCAAAAAGGACGCGUUUCGUAUUUUCACGUGCCCCGUCGAGACAGGAAUUCCAGGUUACUCUGAAAUGCGCGCGCGCACUGAGCAGCCAUUGGCCUAAGCGCUCCCGAGGAGCCGCCAUAAUGGGACGGUCAGGGAUGGGGAAAGUACAGCGCUGCACAACCGCCAUUACAAGAAGGUCAGAGGCAAUCGGCGGCAGUUGAAGGCCGGUACUGAGAUGUGGGUGGAGGCGUGCCCCAGUGCGGGCUAAACCGCCACUGAACAAGGAGAGGGCCUCCCUCGGCUUCUCGACAUACCUAAUUGGGCUGGCGGCACCGCCAUUUGGAGAAGUUCCUAUUAACUUUGGGUAGAUGAGAGAAUGGCCAGCCUUCUGGCAGAGACCAAAAGGAGCUGCCACCCUGAGACCAUCCAGAUUCUGUUGCAGGGUGUUGUCUCCACCACCUUCUGCCCCCAGCAUCUGACUACGGAGUGAUGAGAGGGACAGCAGCUCCAGCUGUGGAAGAACGGGCAGGCUUGAACAGAAUACCCUAUUCAGAACAAAAAAGGAACUCACCUGCCUUGACUGACGUUGACAUUCUCAAUUCUGUCAGCACUCAUGGCAGUUUUGCGCUUCUGAAUACUCCCUCUCUCCUUCUCCCCGAAACUCAGGACCUGCAGCUGUUUCAUACAGUUUGGGAUGUUCAACACUUAUGGAUAGUGAGACAGUGAAUGACACAGAUGAGGUUCUACCUUCUGUUUGUUAUCCUCACAGCGCACAUGAAGCACAAACAAACUGUCACUCAAGCUGCUGACUGAGAUUCCUGCAAAACAGAAAUGCUGUUUGACUCCAACGUAUUUUGAUGCCUAGACAGUCUGAAUACUAGUGGUCCUUGUGAAGCCUGAACUGAGUACAAAGGACUCCAUCAAUUUUCCAAGCAUUUUAGAAAUUUGUCAUGAGUGUGACAAACAAGUUAUAUGGUGCCCCAACUGGAAGAGAACGAAACAGCCGCUGAUUGUUCUGUCCCUAUCUCCCAAUAAUCACUCAGAAACUAAGGCUUGGCCCAAAAUGUAAACUUACAUUAAAUAUAAAGAUAUAUUAAUGGCGUUGCUAAGUUUGAGAAUAUAAAACAAAAGUCAGGAAAUGCCAAAGUUAUCCCUGCGAAUGAGGACUUCACUGAGGACAUAUGCCCCAGAGAACGUUACAAGAGAACAGACCUGCCAUCCUCUCCUUAAGAUGGAGAUGAAAUGGAGACGGCGAAAGUCUAUAAGGUGCCACAGGAUUCUUUGUUGCUUUUACAUGAAAUGCAGACUGAAUCUAAAAGUUUUUCCUCUGAACACACCCUAAUGGGCCCACCCAGAUAACUUGAAGUAUGCAGAAAUUCUAUUGUACGUAGGUUUUUAUACUGUUUUCAUCACCAUAGUAUCUGAUCACCUUCCAGUUGUGCAUUAACAUCUCAUGUAUGAUUCAUUCUCUUCCAGGUGUAGAACUGUGUGCGGUAUAGCAUUUUGUUUUAAAAGGAUUUGGGUGUGUUUGGUUUUUAAUAAUGAUGGGGGUUAGAAGUGUUUCAGAUUAAAAUCUAAGAUGCAAACAUUUUGCAGCCUGAGAUUAGGACAUUCAAAUUAAAAUAACCUAACUUUCACUGAAGCAUACUCAGCCCUGGAAUGAUAGGGUCUUGUGGGACCCAACCCCCUGAAUUGGUGUUGCCCUUGAAAACUUUUUAUAAAUGUUGACAA
Long non-coding RNA from Mauremys reevesii (Reeves's turtle), 1752 nucleotides. RefSeq lists it as uncharacterized. The transcript is spliced from 5 exons. Lineage: Eukaryota; Metazoa; Chordata; Testudines; Geoemydidae. The record is from RefSeq and is a predicted model, not a curated record.